This 301-nucleotide ribosomal RNA is filed under the name uncultured bacterium. RNAcentral describes it as "partial 16S ribosomal RNA". It matches the Rfam family "Bacterial small subunit ribosomal RNA", at positions 509 to 809 of the family's 1533-position model. The record is from RNAcentral.
CAGUAGCCGCGGUAAUACGUAGGGCGCAAGCGUUAUCCGGAAUUAUUGGGCGUAAAGAGCUCGUAGGCGGUUUGUCGCGUCUGCCGUGAAAGUCCGGGGCUCAACCCCGGAUCUGCGGUGGGUACGGGCAGACUAGAGUGAUGUAGGGGAGACUGGAAUUCCUGGUGUAGCGGUGAAAUGCGCAGAUAUCAGGAGGAACACCGAUGGCGAAGGCAGGUCUCUGGGCAUUAACUGACGCUGAGGAGCGAAAGCAUGGGGAGCGAACAGGAUUAGAUACCCGGGUAGUCCCUGUCUCUUAUAA